This 941-nucleotide ribosomal RNA is filed under the name Pseudoalteromonas sp. RNAcentral's name for it is "bacterial SSU rRNA". It matches the Rfam family "Bacterial small subunit ribosomal RNA", at positions 75 to 1016 of the family's 1533-position model. The record is from RNAcentral. Lineage: Bacteria; Pseudomonadati; Pseudomonadota; Gammaproteobacteria; Alteromonadales; Pseudoalteromonadaceae.
GUAGCUUGCUACUUUGCUGACGAGCGGCGGACGGGUGAGUAAUGCUUGGGAACAUGCCUUGAGGUGGGGGACAACAGUUGGAAACGACUGCUAAUACCGCAUAAUGUCUACGGACCAAAGGGGGCUUCGGCUCUCGCCUUUAGAUUGGCCCAAGUGGGAUUAGCUAGUUGGUGAGGUAAUGGCUCACCAAGGCGACGAUCCCUAGCUGGUUUGAGAGGAUGAUCAGCCACACUGGGACUGAGACACGGCCCAGACUCCUACGGGAGGCAGCAGUGGGGAAUAUUGCACAAUGGGCGCAAGCCUGAUGCAGCCAUGCCGCGUGUGUGAAGAAGGCCUUCGGGUUGUAAAGCACUUUCAGUCAGGAGGAAAGGUUAGUAGUUAAUACCUGCUAGCUGUGACGUUACUGACAGAAGAAGCACCGGCUAACUCCGUGCCAGCAGCCGCGGUAAUACGGAGGGUGCGAGCGUUAAUCGGAAUUACUGGGCGUAAAGCGUACGCAGGCGGUUUGUUAAGCGAGAUGUGAAAGCCCCGGGCUCAACCUGGGAACUGCAUUUCGAACUGGCAAACUAGAGUGUGAUAGAGGGUGGUAGAAUUUCAGGUGUAGCGGUGAAAUGCGUAGAGAUCUGAAGGAAUACCGAUGGCGAAGGCAGCCACCUGGGUCAACACUGACGCUCAUGUACGAAAGCGUGGGGAGCAAACGGGAUUAGAUACCCCGGUAGUCCACGCCGUAAACGAUGUCUACUAGAAGCUCGGAGCCUCGGUUCUGUUUUUCAAAGCUAACGCAUUAAGUAGACCGCCUGGGGAGUACGGCCGCAAGGUUAAAACUCAAAUGAAUUGACGGGGGCCCGCACAAGCGGUGGAGCAUGUGGUUUAAUUCGAUGCAACGCGAAGAACCUUACCUACACUUGACAUACAGAGAACUUACCAGAGAUGGUUUGGUG